RNAcentral lists this ribosomal RNA (217 nucleotides) under uncultured bacterium. RNAcentral describes it as "partial 16S ribosomal RNA". It matches the Rfam family "Bacterial small subunit ribosomal RNA", at positions 114 to 334 of the family's 1533-position model. The record is from RNAcentral.
UACAUCGGAACGUGCCCAGUCGUGGGGGAUAACUACUCGAAAGAGUAGCUAAUACCGCAUACGAUCUGAGGAUGAAAGCGGGGGACCUUCGGGCCUCGCGCGAUUGGAGCGGCCGAUGGCAGAUUAGGUAGUUGGUGGGAUAAAAGCUUACCAAGCCGACGAUCUGUAGCUGGUCUGAGAGGACGACCAGCCACACUGGGACUGAGACACGGCCCAG